UAUUACAUAAAACUAUCUUUUUUAACAUUAAUUGGGGAGUGAGAUCCAUCGAUGCUUUUCUUUGGAAAUUAUUAGAUGUUAAAAUAAUUUCGGAUAUGUAGUCAAAAUUUGUCAAAAAUUAUUUGUUUUCACUUUUAAGAAGGGGAAGUGGUUAACUUACAUUAAAGUGACAGUGUUGUUGAAUGUCAAAUUAAUUUUAUAAGAUCUUGUAUCUUCCUUAGGUAUCUCAAAACAUUAUUUUCGAAAUUAUUUUAAUUGUUACUUUUAAAAAUGAUAUGGAUGUUGCUGCUGGAUCCUUAAGGCAGGGCUUGUCACAGUAUGAGAGAGUUGGUGUGGUGAGCCCACAGGAAUCCAGCAGUGACAUAGAGCCGCCUU
Bombina bombina (fire-bellied toad) is the source of this 375-nucleotide long non-coding RNA. RefSeq lists it as uncharacterized. The transcript has 3 exons. The record is from RefSeq and is a predicted model, not a curated record. Lineage: Eukaryota; Metazoa; Chordata; Amphibia; Anura; Bombinatoridae.